GGGCUAGGGCUCAGUUUUGCUUACUGAAAUUUGAGGUGAAAAUUUAGAAGCGAGAAAGGAACAGGGGGAAAUCAGAGAGUUAGAGAGACACGAAUUGAAGGGAGAGGGAGGUACCGAUGGUGGCUCAGUGAAGUGACGGCGGCGAUCCGCCGGUCCCCUCAGCGGCGCUAGCUUGCGAAGAGGGAAAUAGGCGCGGCUUCAGCUUUGCUCCCAGAAACAGAGGGACGACGCCGAACGCCGGCCUCACUAAUUUUCAGGCGCCAGAGGUGGCGCGGCGAGUUACAGACGGCGGCGGUGGGCGAAUUCUGAGGACAAAGCUAGGGCUCGUCCUAUAAAGAGAGAGAGAGAGAACGAGCGAGGAAAAAGGAGACAAUGAACAAGGAGGAAGUAGGACCGACCUCGCCAGUCUCCUAGGGGCGGCGGCUCGCCGGAUGUGAGAAAGAAAGAAGGGGCGAUUCCUUGUGAAGGGCUAGGGCUCACAAUUUUGCAGAAAGAGGGUAGCUUAGAUUGAGAAAUUGAGAAUGACAUUGAGAGGGAGGAAAACGGGCGAUAGGCGGCUCCCUCAGCCGGGGGAGGCGCUCGCCGGAGGAGAAGCGGCGCUGGCGAGUUUUGGAAGAGAGGCUGCUGAUUUGGGCGGAGGAAUUGAGGAACAGAAGUAGGAGGCUGUUUCCAGCCGUGAAAAUGAGAGAGAGAGAAAGAACCGAGAUAUCAUAUCUCUUGGUUGGGCCACUUUGAUUAGUUGGACUGGAGUUUAAUAUGAUGGGUUGAUUCUUUUCAUUGAGUGGGCUCAAACAAUGGUGAUUUUUAGGCCCAGAUUUCCUCAAAUACUUAUCAAGUGGGUUAGAAUACAAUAAAAUGAGUUUAUUAAUUAAGAUUAAUGAUCUGAUUUCAUUAGACGAGCUUAAAUCCUAUAGUUGGAUUAUUAUUAGAAUUUUC
Molecule: long non-coding RNA, 936 nt
Filed under: Salvia miltiorrhiza (redroot sage)
Lineage: Eukaryota; Viridiplantae; Streptophyta; Magnoliopsida; Lamiales; Lamiaceae
Description: long non-coding RNA (SMIL_LNC005671)
Source: RNAcentral